This 440-nucleotide ribosomal RNA is filed under the name uncultured bacterium. Its description in RNAcentral is "partial 16S ribosomal RNA". It matches the Rfam family "Bacterial small subunit ribosomal RNA", at positions 338 to 795 of the family's 1533-position model. The record is from RNAcentral.
CCUACGGGCGGCAGCAGUGGGGAAUAUUGCACAAUGGGGGAAACCCUGAUGCAGCGACGCCGCGUGAGCGAUUAAGUCCUUCUGUAUGUAAAGCUCUAUCAGCAGGGAAGAAAAUGACGGUACCUUCCUACUAAGCCCCGGCUCACUACGUGCCAGUCGCCGCGGUCAUACGUAGGGGGCAAGCGUUAUCCGGAUUUACUGGGUGUAAAGGGAGCGUAGACGGUCGUGCAAGGCAGAUGUGAAAGCCCGGGGCUCAACCCCGGGACUGCAUUUGGAACUGUAAGGCUAGAGUGUGGGAGAGGCAGGCGGAAUGCGUAGUGUAGCGGUGAAAUGCGUAGAUAUUAGGAAGAACACCAGUGGCGAAGGCAGCCUGCUGGACGAUGACUGACGUUGAGGCUCGAAAGCGUGGGGAGCAAACAGGAUUAGAUACCCUUGUAGUC